Molecule: non-coding RNA, 71 nt
Organism: Podarcis lilfordi (Lilford's wall lizard)
Lineage: Eukaryota; Metazoa; Chordata; Lepidosauria; Squamata; Lacertidae
Source: the annotation of a GenBank genome assembly
GGACCAUAGCUCAGUGAUAGAACAUCUGUUUUGCAUGCAGGAAGUCCCAGGUUCAAUCCCCAGUAUCUCCA